RNAcentral lists this ribosomal RNA (726 nucleotides) under Delftia tsuruhatensis. RNAcentral's name for it is "bacterial SSU rRNA". It matches the Rfam family "Bacterial small subunit ribosomal RNA", at positions 37 to 759 of the family's 1533-position model. Lineage: Bacteria; Pseudomonadati; Pseudomonadota; Betaproteobacteria; Burkholderiales; Comamonadaceae. The record is from RNAcentral.
UGGCGGCAUUGCCUUACACAUGCAAGUCGANCGGUAACAGGUCUUCGGACGCUNACGAGUGGCGAACGGGUNAGUAAUACAUCGGGAACGUGCCCAGUCGUGGGGGAUAACUACUCGAAAGAGUAGCUAAUACCGCAUACGAUCUGAGGAUGAAAGCGGGGGACCUUCGGGCCUCGCNCGAUUGGAGCGGCCGAUGGCAGAUUAGGUAGUUGGUGGGAUAAAAGCUUACCAAGCCGACGAUCUGUAGCUGGUCUGAGAGGACGACCAGCCACACUGGGACUGAGACACGGCCCAGACUCCUACGGGAGGCAGCAGUGGGGAAUUUUGGACAAUGGGCGAAAGCCUGAUCCAGCAAUGCCGCGUGCAGGAUGAAGGCCUUCGGGUUGUAAACUGCUUUUGUACGGAACGAAAAAGCUCCUUCUAAUACAGGGGGCCCAUGACGGUACCGUAAGAAUAAGCACCGGCUAACUACGUGCCAGCAGCCGCGGUAAUACGUAGGGUGCGAGCGUUAAUCGGAAUUACUGGGCGUAAAGCGUGCGCAGGCGGUUAUGUAAGACAGAUGUGAAAUCCCCGGGCUCAACCUGGGAACUGCAUUUGUGACUGCAUGGCUAGAGUACGGUAGAGGGGGAUGGAAUUCCGCGUGUAGCAGUGAAAUGCGUAGAUAUGCGGAGGAACACCGAUGGCGAAGGCAAUCCCCUGGAACCUGUACUGACGCUCAGCAGAAAG